CCUACGGGAGGCAGCAGUGAGGAAUAUUGGUCAAUGGGCGUAAGCCUGAACCAGCCAAGUCGCGUGAGGGAUGAAGGUUCUAUGGAUCGUAAACCUCUUUUAUAAGGGAAUAAAGUGCGGGACGUGUCCCGUUUUGUAUGUACCUUAUGAAUAAGGAUCGGCUAACUCCGUGCCAGCAGCCGCGGUAAUACGGAGGAUCCGAGCGUUAUCCGGAUUUAUUGGGUUUAAAGGGUGCGUAGGUGGGUUUUUAAUUCAGCUGUGAAAGUUUGUGGCUCAACCUUAAAAUUGCAAUUGAUACUGGGAGGCUUGAGUAUAUUUGAGGCAGGCGGAAUUCGUGGUGUAGCGGUGAAAUGCUUAGAUAUCACGCAGAACCCCGAUUGCGAAGGCAGCCUGCUAAGCCAUGACUGACGCUGAUGCACGAAAGCGUGGGGAUCAAACAGGAUUAGAUACCCGGGUAGUC
This 460-nucleotide ribosomal RNA is filed under the name uncultured bacterium. RNAcentral's name for it is "partial 16S ribosomal RNA". It matches the Rfam family "Bacterial small subunit ribosomal RNA", at positions 338 to 795 of the family's 1533-position model. The record is from RNAcentral.